Oreochromis aureus is the source of this 1775-nucleotide long non-coding RNA. RefSeq lists it as uncharacterized. The transcript has 3 exons. Lineage: Eukaryota; Metazoa; Chordata; Actinopteri; Cichliformes; Cichlidae. The record is from RefSeq and is a predicted model, not a curated record.
CGGAUUGGUAUUCUGCCCAGGUGCGGUUGAAGCUCACGCUGCCGUCCUGGCGGCGCUGCAGGACGGUCCACCCUCCACCCUCCUGCUCCAUCUCGCAGUACACCGAGAAGCUACUAGUGCGGAGGUCAGGGGUCACCAGGUGAUAUUAUCAUCUCGCAGCUGGGAUUUAUUCGUGAAAUGAGCUGGCUGAGGUCACGAGUGCAUCAGAGACUAGAACAAACAUCUGACCAUCAGUCCGGGCUCUGCUGCCUGGGCGUCCUGGCAGACCACUUCAUCUCCAUCCACUUCGGGCAGAGGAGCCAGUGCCGUCGUUUGCGUCUGUUAUGUGCAUAAGUGUCCCAUUUCCAGCUGCACUGGAGUGAACCCAACAACUGUCGUAGUGCAGCGCCAGCCUCUUGUAACACCACACUCAGUCUGCCUGCCUGAAGGUAUAACCCUACCUGCGUUAUUCCACUGCCUCCCGGCUCGCAUGCCAAGAAUAAAUAAUUAUUCAGCUCUGUGAUGCAAUACCUGGCCUAAUCAUGUGAAUGGGCCCAAAUGUAAAGUCCCCUUCAUCCCUCUCUGUUAUGAAAAUGUGCCUACAGUCAUAUUCACAUGAUUUGGCUGUGUCCGGAUCUUUAAUUCUGCAGUAACGGAUGCAUUCCUUUGCCAUGUGUGAGAAUGUUUUUCAUCGAACACUAAUAGUGACUCCUAAAAGUGAAACAAUCAAAUGUCCCUCACAUCUGGGCUGAAUUUCCUACAGCUAGCCAACACCAGAUAACGUCAGGUCAAUUAGUUUUUUAAUCCAAAAUCCUGGAAUUCGUUAAGACAUUGUUUAAAACUUAUAUUUUAUAAUCCUCAUCCUGAUAAGGGAUAUGGAAAGCGGGCUUAACAUGGGAACAGCUUAUCUGCUGUUGUCACUGCCUGCCCACCAGGAGCGGACAUUUCUGAGACCCUGGCAUGCACAAAGAAUAAAGAGGUAUUUUUCCAUCGCAGGAGAGGUGCUUUUUCUUUUAAAAACGUGUGAAGCGUGUUUUGUAGUAAAGGUUCUACAGAGACGUAGCCGUUCGGUUUUCCAUCAUAACCUGAUGUUCAUACUGAAUAGAUUUGUGCUGCAUACUGUAAACGUCCCAGCUGCGCUUAAUAGAAACCAUGCAUCAUACACAGACAAUAGCCUAGAGAUAAACUUACAGAAAGGUGUGCCUCAACGCACCGCAGAAACCCCUUAUUUACUAAACCUUCUUCUUCUCAGCACCACUUCCACAGUCAUAUUUUUAGAGACUGCUAAACAUUAUGACAUUAGUCAGGUGUUACCAUAAAAUACUUCACUGCACGUAAAAGGCAAAGUAUGGCUGCCUGACAAUGUUAAAACAAUAAAACUGUUUAUUAUUCCAGCGUGCCAUGAGUAAGAGUGCAGAAAACCAAACUGUGAGAGCUGGUUGUUAUUUUCAGAAUUUGAUCUACUCCAAGUUUAAUGUUUAAAACAAUAAUAAAGUCAAUGAAGAUGCCAAUUGUGGGGAAAUAAAAAAUUAAGCCAUUUCCCUCCCAGUUACAAAAUGAUACCUCAAAUCUGUCCCUGAGUAUAGCAGUCAGGUAGCUGGACUUUCUGCCUCUGCUGAAGAUGCUGUAAAGAGUUAUCAUCUUUCCACUGCCUUGUGUGAUAGGAACCAGAAAUAAGCUCUAUGUACUGCAAACUUUCUUCUCUUCUCUGUGAAAACUGUUUAAAGAGCCAGUGUGCAAUCUAAUGAGCUAUUUUGGCCAAAAGAAAUAAACAAAUCUCAUUUUUGAGUAAGCGC